This 460-nucleotide ribosomal RNA is filed under the name uncultured bacterium. RNAcentral describes it as "bacterial SSU rRNA". It matches the Rfam family "Bacterial small subunit ribosomal RNA", at positions 32 to 507 of the family's 1533-position model. The record is from RNAcentral.
CAGAACGACGCUGGCGGCAUGCCUAACACAUGCAAGUCGAACGAGACCUUCGGGUCUAGUGGCGCACGGGUGCGUAACACGUGGGAAUUUGCCUCGGGGUAUGGAAUAACUCAGGGAAACUUGAGCUAAUACCAUAUAAUGUCUUCGGACCAAAGAUUUAUCGCCCUGAGAUAAGCCCGCGUAGGAUUAGCUAGUUGGUGGGGUAAAGGCUCACCAAGGCGACGAUCCUUAGCUGGUCUGAGAGGAUGAUCAGCCACACUGGGACUGAGACACGGCCCAGACUCCUACGGGAGGCAGCAGUGGGGAAUAUUGGACAAUGGGCGAAAGCCUGAUCCAGCAAUGCCGCGUGAGUGAUGAAGGCCUUCGGGUUGUAAACUGCUUUUGUACGGAACGAAACGGUGAGCUCUAAUACAGUUUGCUAAUGACGGUACCGUAAGAAUAAGCACCGGCUAACUACGUG